GCUUGAGCUACAUCCCCCCCUGGAACAUAUUUACAUUAUUUAGAAAUGGGUCACUCAGUAGUGCCCCAUGCCAGAGCAAACUGUGGCCUUGAAUCAUUGCCUGGCCUCUGCCUGUAUUCUACAGGCACUGAAAUGGGUUGCAUAGUG
Molecule: small nucleolar RNA, 147 nt
Filed under: Spermophilus dauricus (Daurian ground squirrel)
Lineage: Eukaryota; Metazoa; Chordata; Mammalia; Rodentia; Sciuridae
Description: Small nucleolar RNA SNORA42/SNORA80 family (ENSSDAG00000008524.1)
Source: RNAcentral